RNAcentral lists this transfer RNA (63 nucleotides) under Erysipelotrichaceae bacterium. Its description in RNAcentral is "tRNA-Arg". The record is from RNAcentral. Lineage: Bacteria; Bacillati; Bacillota; Erysipelotrichia; Erysipelotrichales; Erysipelotrichaceae.
GCGGCCGUAGCUCAGUUGGAUAGAGCAUCUGUCUUCGGAACAGANNUCCCAUCUGGUGCACCA